Molecule: ribosomal RNA, 119 nt
Organism: Pteropus vampyrus (large flying fox)
Lineage: Eukaryota; Metazoa; Chordata; Mammalia; Chiroptera; Pteropodidae
Source: Ensembl
GUCCACGGCCAUGCCGCCCCAAACAAGCCGGAUCCCGUCUGACCUCGCAAGCUCAGCAGGGUCAGGCCUGGUUAGUACUUGGAUGGGAGACCAGCUACGAAGAUCAGGUGCUGUAGGCG